This 73-nucleotide transfer RNA is filed under the name bacterium. RNAcentral describes it as "tRNA-Phe". It matches the Rfam family "tRNA". From Rfam's summary of the family: Transfer RNA (tRNA) molecules are approximately 80 nucleotides in length. Their secondary structure includes four short double-helical elements and three loops (D, anti-codon, and T loops). Further hydrogen bonds mediate the characteristic L-shaped molecular structure. tRNAs have two regions of fundamental functional importance: the anti-codon, which is responsible for specific mRNA codon recognition, and the 3' end, to which the tRNAs corresponding amino acid is attached (by aminoacyl-tRNA synthetases). tRNAs cope with the degeneracy of the genetic code in two manners: having more than one tRNA (with a specific anti-codon) for a particular amino acid; and 'wobble' base-pairing, i.e. permitting non-standard base-pairing at the 3rd anti-codon position. The record is from RNAcentral. RNAcentral also lists the same sequence under 1 other name.
GGCGCUCUAGCUCAGUCGGUAGAGCAACGGACUGAAAAUCCGUGUGUGCGCGGUUCGAUUCCGCGGGGCGCCA